UCGGGGUGUAGCUCAGUUUGGUUUAGAGCACUAGCAUGGGGGGCUAGGGGUCGCCAGUUCAACUCUGGCCACUCCGAUC
This 79-nucleotide transfer RNA is filed under the name bacterium ADurb.Bin363. RNAcentral describes it as "tRNA-Pro". The record is from RNAcentral.